RNAcentral lists this ribosomal RNA (1586 nucleotides) under human gut metagenome. RNAcentral describes it as "bacterial LSU rRNA". It matches the Rfam family "Bacterial large subunit ribosomal RNA", at positions 733 to 2306 of the family's 2925-position model. The record is from RNAcentral.
CCCAUGUCCAGGUUGAAGCGCAGGUAAAAUUGCGUGGAGGACCGAACCUGUGAGCGUUGAAAAGCUUUAGGAUGAGAUGUGGGUAGAGGUGAAAUUCCAAUCGAACGCGGAGAUAGCUGGUUCUCCCCGAAAUAGCUUUAGGGCUAGCCUCAAGUAGUAAGUAUAGGCGGUAGAGCACUGAUCGGGCUAGGGGCCAUAAAGGUUACCGAACCCUGUCAAACUCCGAAUGGUUAUACUGUAGAGCUUGGGAGUCAGACUACGAGUGAUAAGAUCCGUGGUCAAAAGGGAAACAGCCCAGACCACCAGCUAAGGUCCCCAAUGUCGUACUAAGUGGAAAAGGAUGUGGGGUCUCUAAAACAACCAGGAUGUUGGCUUAGAAGCAGCCACCAUUUAAAGAGUGCGUAAUAGCUCACUGGUCGAGAGACCCUGCGCCGAAGAUUACCGGGGCUAAAGUACGAAACCGAAGCUGUGGCUACGACAUAUGUCGUGGGGUAGGGGAGCGUUCUGUGAGGGCUGAAGUCGUUCUGUAAGGAACGGUGGACUUCACAGAAGUGAGAAUGUUGGUAUGAGUAGCGAAAAGAAUGGUGAGAAUCCAUUCCACCGAAAGCAUAAGGAUUCCUGGGCAACGAUCGUCGUCCCAGGGUAAGUCGGGACCUAAUCCGAGGCAUGGAGCGUAGGAGAUGGACAACUGGCAGAUAUUCCAGUACCGGUAAUGAUUGUUUGAGCGAUGGAGUGACACAGGAGGGCAGGCAGGCAGGAGAUUGGUUGUUCCUGUACAAGCGUGUAGGAUGGGACGCAGGCAAAUCCGCGUCCUGUGAGUCUGAGGCGUGAUGUGGAGGUUCCGGAAACGGAACUGAAGCUGCUGACCCCACACUGUCGAGAAAAGCUUCUAGUUAGAGAAUUACCGCCCGUACCGUAAACCGACACAGGUAUGCGGGGAGAGAAUCCUAAGGUGCGCGGGAGAACCCUCGUUAAGGAACUCGGCAAAAUGUACCCGUAACUUCGGGAUAAGGGUAGCCGCUGUUGUGAAGUCUGAACAGACGGAGCAUGAGGCGGUCGCAGAGAAGAGGCCCAAGCGACUGUUUACCACAAACACAGGUGCCUGCUAAAGAGAAAUCUGACGUAUAGGUGCUGACACCUGCCCAGUGCCGGAAGGUUAAGGAAGGAUGUCCGGAGCAAUCCAAAGCAUUCGACCGAAGCCCCGGUGAACGGCGGCCGUAACUAUAACGGUCCUAAGGUAGCGAAAUUCCUUGUCGGGUAAGUUCCGACCCGCACGAAAGGUGUAACGAUUUGGGCACUGUCUCAACGAGGGACCCGGUGAAAUUGAAGUACCUGUGAAGAUGCAGGUUACCCGCGACUGGACAGAAAGACCCCAUGGAGCUUUACUGUAACCUGACAUUGGGUUCUGAUACAUCACGUACAGGAUAGGUGGGAGGCAUGGAAGCGAGGACGCUAGUCUUCGUGGAGCCGCCGUUGGGAUACCACCCUUGAUGUAUCGGAAUUCUAACCGUAGGAGUAACGAAACUCGGGACAGUGUCAGGCGGGCAGUUUGACUGGGGCGGUCGCCUCCCAAAGAGUAACGGAGG